Molecule: long non-coding RNA, 632 nt
Organism: Mercenaria mercenaria
Lineage: Eukaryota; Metazoa; Mollusca; Bivalvia; Venerida; Veneridae
Exons: 3
Source: RefSeq, a predicted model, not a curated record
AAUAGGAUUUGAAAAAAAAACUUCGCCCCUAUUUAUCAAACUUGGAAAGUUCUUAGACUUUAAAAUCAUUCUAAUGUUAAGAUUUUGAGAGUAAAAUACUUAAAGUUUGUAAAGCAGUUAAAGUGUUUUCAUUAUAUUAUGUAUGUAAUUACUAUGGUGACAGUUGACAUAAAAUAUUUUUGAUAAUGCAAAAUUUCUCUUGUAAGGAAAUCUGGAGAACUUUUAUGAAUAUUGAAACCUAUGUCUUUGAACAUGGAAUACUUACCAAAAUUUAAGACAAUGAAAUCGAAGAACUUCAUGCUAACACUUGCAUCAGUGGAAGUACUUCUUAUUGGAUAGAGAACUUUUCAAGGUCAGACAUCAGCUUUUGAAGUUGCAUUCUUGGCACAUCAUGCUGUCCAGUGGAGUUCAUACCAUAUGCCAGGCCUUUAUACAUGGUCAAAGAAGAUGAAUUUGUUAUUCAAUUUGUGAAAUUUGAUUUAAGGAGGACUUUCAUAUAUGAUGAUUAUAUUCAGCAGAUUAUCUUCAAGUGUGCACUUUAUAGAAUCACAGUUUCUAGGAGGUUUUCAAUUUAAAGUUAGAUUAAUUGAAAAAAUGAUGAAAAGUACAUUGUUAGAACUUCAAAUAUGCAA